RNAcentral lists this ribosomal RNA (1343 nucleotides) under uncultured bacterium. Its description in RNAcentral is "16S ribosomal RNA". It matches the Rfam family "Bacterial small subunit ribosomal RNA", at positions 28 to 1378 of the family's 1533-position model. The record is from RNAcentral.
GACGAACGCUGGCGGCGUGCUUAACACAUGCAAGUCGAACGGAAAGGCCCUGCUUUUGUGGGGUGCUCGAGUGGCGAACGGGUGAGUAACACGUGAGUAACCUGCCCUUGACUUUGGGAUAACUUCAGGAAACUGGGGCUAAUACCGGAUAGGAGCUCCUGCUGCAUGGUGGGGGUUGGAAAGUUUCGGCGGUUGGGGAUGGACUCGCGGCUUAUCAGCUUGUUGGUGGGGUAGUGGCUUACCAAGGCUUUGACGGGUAGCCGGCCUGAGAGGGUGACCGGCCACAUUGGGACUGAGAUACGGCCCAGACUCCUACGGGAGGCAGCAGUGGGGAAUAUUGCACAAUGGGCGGAAGCCUGAUGCAGCAACGCCGCGUGCGGGAUAACGGCCUUCGGGUUGUAAACCGCUUUCGCCUGUGACGAAGCGUGAGUGACGGUAAUGGGUAAAGAAGCACCGGCUAACUACGUGCCAGCAGCCGCGGUGAUACGUAGGGUGCGAGCGUUGUCCGGAUUUAUUGGGCGUAAAGGGCUCGUAGGUGGUUGAUCGCGUCGGAAGUGUAAUCUUGGGGCUUAACCCUGAGCGUGCUUUCGAUACGGGUUGACUUGAGGAAGGUAGGGGAGAAUGGAAUUCCUGGUGGAGCGGUGGAAUGCGCAGAUAUCAGGAGGAACACCAGUGGCGAAGGCGGUUCUCUGGGCCUUUCCUGACGCUGAGGAGCGAAAGCGUGGGGAGCGAACAGGCUUAGAUACCCUGGUAGUCCACGCUGUAAACGGUGGGUACUAGGUGUGGGGUCCAUUCCACGGGUUCCGUGCCGUAGCUAACGCUUUAAGUACCCCGCCUGGGGAGUACGGCCGCAAGGCUAAAACUCAAAGGAAUUGACGGGGCCCCGCACAAGCGGCGGAGCAUGCGGAUUAAUUCGAUGCAACGCGUAGAACCUUACCUGGGUUUGACAUGGAUCGGGAGUGCUCAGAGAUGGGUGUGCCUCUUUUGGGGUCGGUUCACAGGUGGUGCAUGGCUGUCGUCAGCUCGUGUCGUGAGAUGUUGGGUUAAGUCCCGCAACGAGCGCAACCCUUGUUCACUGUUGCCAGCACGUUAUGGUGGGGACUCAGUGGAGACCGCCGGGGUCAACUCGGAGGAAGGUGGGGAUGACGUCAAGUCAUCAUGCCCCUUAUGUCCAGGGCUUCACGCAUGCUACAAUGGCUGGUACAGAGAGUGGCGAGCCUGUGAGGGUGAGCGAAUCUCGGAAAGCCGGUCUCAGUUCGGAUUGGGGUCUGCAACUCGACCUCAUGAAGUCGGAGUCGCUAGUAAUCGCAGAUCAGCAACGCUGCGGUGAAAACGUUCCCGGG